This 927-nucleotide ribosomal RNA is filed under the name Coprinopsis stercorea. RNAcentral describes it as "LSU rRNA". It matches the Rfam family "Eukaryotic large subunit ribosomal RNA", at positions 25 to 938 of the family's 3401-position model. Lineage: Eukaryota; Fungi; Basidiomycota; Agaricomycetes; Agaricales; Psathyrellaceae. The record is from RNAcentral.
CCGCUUGGACUUAAGCAUAUCAAUAAGCGGAGGAAAAGAAACUAACAAGGAUUCCCCCUAGUAACUGCGAGUGAAGCGGGAAAAGCUCAAAUUUAAAAUCUGGUGGUCUCCGGCCAUCCGAGUUGUAAUCUAGAGAAGUGUUACCCGCGUCGGACCGUGUACAAGUCUCCUGGAAUGGAGCGUCAUAGAGGGUGAGAAUCCCGUCUUUGACACGGACCCCCGAGGCUUUGUGGUGCGCUCUCAAAGAGUCGAGUUGUUUGGGAAUGCAGCUCAAAAUGGGUGGUAAAUUCCAUCUAAAGCUAAAUAUUGGCGAGAGACCGAUAGCGAACAAGUACCGUGAGGGAAAGAUGAAAAGAACUUUGGAAAGAGAGUUAAACAGUACGUGAAAUUGCUGAAAGGGAAACGCUUGAAGUCAGUCGCGUCGGCCGGAAAUCAGCCUUGCUCUUGCUUGGUGUACUUUCUGGUUGACGGGCCAGCAUCAGUUUUGACCGGUGGAUAAAGUUGUGAGGAAUGUGGCAUCUUCGGGUGUGUUAUAGCCUCGCUUCGUAUACAUCGGUUGGGACUGAGGAACUCAGCACGCCGAAAGGCCGGGGUUCGCCCACGUUCGUGCUUAGGAUGUUGGCAUAAUGGCUUUAAUCGACCCGUCUUGAAACACGGACCAAGGAGUCUAACAUGCCUGCGAGUGUUUGGGUGGAAAACCCGGACGCGCAAUGAAAGUGAAAGUCGAGAUCCUUGUCAUGGGGAGCAUCGACGCCCGGACCAGAAGUUUACGGACGGCCCUGCGGUAUAGCAUGUAUGUUGGGACCCGAAAGAUGGUGAACUAUGCCUGAAUAGGGUGAAGCCAGAGGAAACUCUGGUGGAGGCUCGUAGCGAUUCUGACGUGCAAAUCGAUCGUCGAAUUUGGGUAUAGGGCGAAAGACUAAUCGA